CACCCUCUGUUUACAUUGCCUGUUGGACUUAGUUGUUACUGGUUAUUCAAGUGGGGCAAAGGAGAUAUCUUUUCAAAACUCAGGCAAACUGAGUGUCUUGUGUCCUGUCAGAGAAAACAUAU
RNAcentral lists this small nucleolar RNA (122 nucleotides) under Carlito syrichta (Philippine tarsier). RNAcentral's name for it is "Small nucleolar RNA SNORA27 (ENSTSYG00000037376.1)". It matches the Rfam family "Small nucleolar RNA SNORA27". From Rfam's summary of the family: ACA27 is a member of the H/ACA class of snoRNA that guide the sites of modification of uridines to pseudouridines. The record is from Rfam by way of RNAcentral. Lineage: Eukaryota; Metazoa; Chordata; Mammalia; Primates; Tarsiidae.